CAUUGUUGGAGAGUUUGAUCCUGGCUCAGGACGAACGCUGGCGGCGUGCUUAACACAUGCAAGUCGAACGAUGAAGCCUUUCGGGGUGGAUUAGUGGCGAACGGGUGAGUAACACGUGGGCAAUCUGCCCUGUACUUUGGGAUAAGCCUGGGAAACUGGGUCUAAUACCGGAUACGACUCUUGGCCGCAUGGUUGAGAGUGGAAAGCUCCGGCGGUACGGGAUGAGCCCGCGGC
Molecule: ribosomal RNA, 234 nt
Filed under: Amycolatopsis sp. CB00013
Lineage: Bacteria; Bacillati; Actinomycetota; Actinomycetes; Pseudonocardiales; Pseudonocardiaceae
Description: partial 16S ribosomal RNA
Rfam family: Bacterial small subunit ribosomal RNA
Source: RNAcentral